Molecule: ribosomal RNA, 253 nt
Filed under: uncultured bacterium
Lineage: Bacteria
Description: partial 16S ribosomal RNA
Rfam family: Bacterial small subunit ribosomal RNA
Source: RNAcentral
UACAGAGGGUGCGAGCGUUGUCCGGAAUCACUGGGCGUAAAGGGCGCGUAGGUGGCGACCCAAGUCCAUGGUGAAAGCUCGAUGCUCAACAUCGAGUCGGCCACGGAUACUGGGUUGCUCGAGCACUGUAGAGGCUAAUGGAAUUCCGGGUGUAGCGGUGGAAUGCGUAGAGAUCCGGAAGAACACCGGUGGCGAAGGCGGUUAGCUGGGCAGUUGCUGACACUGAGGCGCGACAGCGUGGGGAGCAAACGGG